GACGAACUCUGGCGGCGUGCCUAAUACAUGCAAGUCGAGCGGACCGGAUUGGGGCUUGCCUUGAUUCGGUCAGCGGCGGACGGGUGAGUAACACGUGGGCAACCUGCCCGCAAGACCGGGAUAACUCCGGGAAACCGGAGCUAAUACCGGAUAACACCGAAGACCGCAUGGUCUUCGGUUGAAAGGCGGCCUUUGGGCUGUCACUUGCGGAUGGGCCCGCGGCGCAUUAGCUAGUUGGUGAGGUAACGGCUCACCAAGGCGACGAUGCGUAGCCGGCCUGAGAGGGUGACCGGCCACACUGGGACUGAGACACGGCCCAGACUCCACCGGGAGGCAGCCGUAGGGAAUCUUCCGCAAUGGGCGAAAGCCUGACGUAGCGACGCCGCGUGAGCGAAGAAGGCCUUCGGGUCGUAAAGCUCUGUUGUGAGGGACGAAGGAGCGCCGUUCGAAGAGGGCGGCGCGGUGACGGUACCUCACGAGAAAGCCCCGGCUAACUACGUGCCAGCCGCCGCAGUAA
This 517-nucleotide ribosomal RNA is filed under the name uncultured bacterium. RNAcentral describes it as "partial 16S ribosomal RNA". It matches the Rfam family "Bacterial small subunit ribosomal RNA", at positions 28 to 523 of the family's 1533-position model. The record is from RNAcentral.